This 497-nucleotide ribosomal RNA is filed under the name uncultured bacterium. Its description in RNAcentral is "partial 16S ribosomal RNA". It matches the Rfam family "Bacterial small subunit ribosomal RNA", at positions 28 to 507 of the family's 1533-position model. The record is from RNAcentral.
GAUGAACGCUGGCGGCGUGCCUAAUACAUGCCAGUCGAGCGAACGGACGAGAAGCUUGCUUCUCUGAUGCUAGCGGCGGACGGGUGAGUAACACGUGGAUAACCUACCUAUAAGACUGGGAUAACUUCGGGAAACCGGAGCUAAUACCGGAUGAUAUUUUGAACCGCAUGGUUCAAAAGUGAAAGACGGUCUUGCUGUCACUUAUAGAUGGAUCCGCGCUGCAUUAGCUAGUUGGUAAGGUAACGGCUUACCAAGGCAACGAUGCAUAGCCGACCUGAGAGGGUGAUCGGCCACACUGGAACUGAGACACGGUCCAGACUCCUACGGGAGGCAGCAGUAGGGAAUCUUCCGCAAUGGGCGAAAGCCUGACGGAGCAACGCCGCGUGAGUGAUGAAGGUCUUCGGAUCGUAAAACUCUGUUAUUAGGGAAGAACAUAUGUGUAAGUAACUGUGCACAUCUUGACGGUACCUAAUCAGAAAGCCACGGCUAACUACGUG